UGAGUCACUGAGUUGAAUUAGGUUGUGAAAGAGCAGUUUGCAUUCAAGAUCCCCAGUCCCAGUGACUUCAGAAAUCUAAAUGGAGACUGUUACCCGGCAAUUGAAAUAAUAAUGAUGACAGCUCAUAUUUCUUGAGUCUUUACCGUGUGCAGACACUACGACACCGUCUGGGAGUGCUGAGAUGCUGUAUGGGAAGGUCAACUCUACUGACCCCUAUGCUGGAGUGAGGCCAUGGGUAACCACCAAGUACCGCAGCCCCAGAAGAACAUAGGUUUCCAGUCAGUCCCCGGAGGGGCUGAACUCAUGAGUGAGGUCACCUAGAAUGCUCCAGAUGAGCCCGCUGAGACCCAGCUACCAUCACUCUGUGGACAGAAGACUCACUCUGCUGGACCCAGUCCAAAUCUUCAACUCAAAACUUAUGAGAUACGAUUGAUGACCACCUUCAGUUGCCUAAAAACUCCAAAUCAGAGCAAUAGGUUUGCUGAGACCUGAACUCGCAUUUUGCUCUGAGACACUGUGGGGGCAAGUGAGCUGACGUGCAUAAGGAGCUGAUUGCUGGGUUGACCACACGGCAAACACAAAGCAAGUCCAGCUGUUACUCAGAGCUUGAUCACUUGAUUUCAUUCUGCACAUCCCUGCUUGAACCAAUCAUCAGUUAAGUAUUUAACACGGCAAAUACUGUAUAGCCGCUGUU
Molecule: long non-coding RNA, 694 nt
Organism: Peromyscus californicus insignis
Lineage: Eukaryota; Metazoa; Chordata; Mammalia; Rodentia; Cricetidae
Exons: 2
Source: RefSeq, a predicted model, not a curated record